UGAGGAAUUUUGCGCAAUGGGAGCAAUCCUGACGCAGCAACGCCGCGUGGGUGAUGAAGGCCUUCGGGUCGUAAAGCCCUGUCAGGUGGGAAGAAUGUCCCGGGACUGAACAGGUUCCGGGAGUGACGGUACCACCAGAGGAAGCACCGGCUAACUCCGUGCCAGCCGCCGCGGUACUACGGAGGGUGCAAGCGUUAUUCGGAAUUACUGGGCGUAAAGCGCGUGUAGGCGGUCCUGCAAGUCUGAUGUGAAAGCCCCGGGCUUAACCCGGGAAGUGCAUUGGAAACUGUGGGACUUGAGUACUGGAGAGGAGGGGGGAAUUCCCGGUGUAGAGGUGAAAUUCGUAGAGAUCGGGAGGAAUAUCAGUGGCGAAGGCGCCCAUCUGGACGGUAACUGACGCUGAGACACGAAAGCGUGGGGAGCAAACA
This 428-nucleotide ribosomal RNA is filed under the name uncultured prokaryote. RNAcentral describes it as "bacterial SSU rRNA". It matches the Rfam family "Bacterial small subunit ribosomal RNA", at positions 355 to 774 of the family's 1533-position model. The record is from RNAcentral.